This 314-nucleotide unclassified non-coding RNA is filed under the name plant metagenome. Its description in RNAcentral is "partial contains 5.8S ribosomal RNA, internal transcribed spacer 2, and large subunit ribosomal RNA". The stretch from base 1 to 105 matches the Rfam family "5.8S ribosomal RNA", at positions 50 to 154 of the family's 154-position model. The record is from RNAcentral.
GAAAUGCGAUAAUUAAUGUGAAUUGCAGAAUUCAGUGAAUCAUCGAGUCUUUGAACGCACAUUGCGCCCCCUGGUAUUCCGGGGGGCAUGCCUGUCCGAGCGUCAUUGCUGCCCUCAAGCACGGCUUGUGUGUUGGGCUUCCGUCCCUGGCAACGGGGACGGGCCCAAAAGGCAGUGGCGGCACCAUGUCUGGUCCUCGAGCGUAUGGGGCUUUGUCACCCGCUCCCGUAGGUCCAGCCGGCAGCUAGCCUCGCAACCAAUCUUUUUAACCAGGUUGACCUCGGAUCAGGUAGGGAUACCCGCUGAACUUAAGC